This 468-nucleotide ribosomal RNA is filed under the name uncultured bacterium. Its description in RNAcentral is "partial 16S ribosomal RNA". It matches the Rfam family "Bacterial small subunit ribosomal RNA", at positions 28 to 507 of the family's 1533-position model. The record is from RNAcentral.
GACGAACGCUGGCGGCGUGCUUAACACAUGCAAGUCGAACGGAAAGGCCCUGCUUUUGUGGGGUGCUCGAGUGGCGAACGGGUGAGUAACACGUGAGUAACCUGCCCUUGACUUUGGGAUAACUUCAGGAAACUGGGGCUAAUACCGGAUAGGAGCUCCUGCUGCAUGGUGGGGGUUGGAAAGUUUCGGCGGUUGGGGAUGGACUCGCGGCUUAUCAGCUUGUUGGUGGGGUAGUGGCUUACCAAGGCUUUGACGGGUAGCCGGCCUGAGAGGGUGACCGGCCACAUUGGGACGGAGAUACGGCCCAGACUCCUACGGGAGGCAGGAGUGGGGAAUAUUGCACAAUGGGCGGAAGCAUGAUGCAGCAACGCCGCGUGCGGGAUGACGGCCUUCGGGUUGUAAACCGCUUUCGCCUGUGACGAAGCGUGAGUGACGGUAAUGGGUAAAGAAGCACCGGCUAACUACGUG